GAGAGUGUCAGGGGAACUUUAGGACCAAUAAGGCCAGUGUGACUGCAGAGGAAGGAGCACCAGGAAUGGCAGUAGGUGACGCCUUCAAAGAGGCAAAGGAAGCCCUUUCUGUGAAGUUUACGGCCCAGGGAUGAGCAAGGGAAAGUCAAGAGGCAACCUAGUGGAUCACAUUCUUCUCUUCCAUUAUGUGGCAACUGCCCUCCUUCUUCUGAAGAUCAGGGUCCUCACUGCUGGCUGGCUGGUGGGUGGCAGCUUCAAAAUCCCAUAUGAACAUCUGUUUUCUUAGACCACCCCUGCCAUUGUUGCAAGUUGAGUCCCUUGGAAGCAGACUCUGAGAUGGGAAUUAGCACAGAAGAAUUGAAUUGGCAACAAGAUUUUAUCUUAUUCACUGAUAUGCCACACAGAUUCUCCAAACUGUUUGAAGCCAGUAAGAGAGAAGGAAGAAAAGACGAUUCUAGGAUGACACCAGAUUUCUGGUUUUGAUAGCUGCAUUGAAGGAAGCUAGUGCUUCAUACCUACUUUCCUUGGGGGAAAAUGAAUGAAAAAGAGACUGAAUUCAAUCUUGAACAUGAUGAGUUUGAGAUGCCCAGAGCAUCCAAGAUAUUGAAAGUUGGAGAUGUUGAGAAUCCAUGGGAUGGACCAGACUGGAGCUGAAGAAGCCACUGGGAUUAGCACCCUGCAACGUUCAGAUGGUACAACUGAGGCUAUAUUGAGUAAGUGGUCUCACAACUUUGGUCUCAGGGCAGUCUAAGUCCUUGGAGUAGACAUGAUGGGACAGAAAGAACUACGAGGCAAAAAAGGCACUCUUUUCCAUGUCUAAUUCUACAACCUUAGACCACAUACAUUAGGAAUCAUUUUGUGAGCUGCUCUUGGAACUCACCAACCCCAAAUCAAAACAAAUGAGAAUUGCUGCCUGAAGAGUUAGUUGCCAUGUCAAGCCUACACAGCUCCAGGGGCAGGUUGCAAGCUGUUUACAGUCACUACUCGCUGCUGGCAUCUCCAGGCAGGCAUAGCUGUCCACAUAUUGUGCUGGCGCAUGUCACAUCGUAUCUGGGGUCUGAUUUGAGCAGCACACAUCCACAAUGGGAAAAUGAGGCUGGUCAGGUCCUACCCAUGGAGAUCAGAGUGAUCCAUGCCCACAUCUCCAGGUUUGAGCCGUGGUAGAAUCUGUGGCACCUGUCUUAGAAUUGAAAUUCCUUUAUGUGGCUUGGGAGUUGGGUGGGCUAGCUAGGGAGUUUGUCAUGAAGUUGCUUUUGCAUAGCAAGAAUACUACUUUUACUUAGAUUAUAUGUUUAUUUGGAAUGACUUUGAGGGUGGAGGCUAAUGGUUGUUUUGGGGGCAAAUGGCCCACUAAAGACACCCCUUAGUGCCAUCACUUGGGCCACCAUGUUGUUUUCAAAACCCGGCCAUGGCUUGGGGAGCUCAAUAACCAAUCUAUUAGCCAAAGUUAUAGACUUUUCAGGCUUCACAUACCUCUUGCCUUCCUUCUCACCCUCAGGGUA
This 1502-nucleotide long non-coding RNA is filed under the name Equus caballus (horse). Its description in RNAcentral is "lncRNA (ENSECAG00000048137.1)". The record is from RNAcentral. Lineage: Eukaryota; Metazoa; Chordata; Mammalia; Perissodactyla; Equidae.